UGGGCAGUUUGACUGGGGCGGUCGCCUCCCAAAAGGUAACGGAGGCGCUCAAAGGUUCUCUCAGUACGGUCGGAAAUCGUACGUAGAGUGUAAAGGCAAAAGAGAGCUUGAUUGCAAGACAUACAGGUCGAGCAAGGAUGAAAAUCGGACUUAGUGAUCCGGUGGUUCUGCGUGGAAGGGCCAUCGCUCAACGGAUAAAAGCUACCCUGGGGAUAACAGGCUUAUCUCCCCCAAGAGUCCACAUCGACGGGGAGGUUUGGCACCUCGAUGUCGGCUCAUCACAUCCUGGGGCUGUAGUAGGUCCCAAGGGUUGGGCUGUUCGCCCAUUAAAGUGGUACGCGAGCUGGGUUCAGAACGUCGUGAGACAGUUCGGUCCCUAUCCGUCGCAGGCGUAGGAAAUUUG
This 403-nucleotide ribosomal RNA is filed under the name Clostridioides difficile. RNAcentral's name for it is "partial 23S ribosomal RNA". It matches the Rfam family "Bacterial large subunit ribosomal RNA", at positions 2262 to 2664 of the family's 2925-position model. The record is from RNAcentral. Lineage: Bacteria; Bacillati; Bacillota; Clostridia; Peptostreptococcales; Peptostreptococcaceae.